Lemur catta (Ring-tailed lemur) is the source of this 5004-nucleotide long non-coding RNA. RefSeq lists it as uncharacterized. The record is from RefSeq and is a predicted model, not a curated record. The transcript is spliced from 2 exons. Lineage: Eukaryota; Metazoa; Chordata; Mammalia; Primates; Lemuridae.
AGCAGCCUCCCGGCCCCUCCCCAGGCGCAGGCCCACCCCUCACCAUCCCUCCUCUUCUCCUUCAUACCCCCAGGAGCUCUGUUAGCUGCUGCUGGCUCGUUUAUAUUUACACAACCGGAAGAGUAAUGUGUGGUCUCUCCCAAACAGUUGGGUGAUCUCUGUAAUUAUGCAACAGUAGAAAACAGCAGCUCUGUUUGCAGAGUGGGGUUAUGAUCUCCUAGCUGGGGAUUGUUUACUGAGAUGAAUCUCACUGCGGGCUGGAUUUCCUUAACCAGCUGCUCUCUCUGCCAGGCCAGUCUCUUCCCUGUCCAUGUGAUUUUUCCUGCACCAUCUUUCUGGAGUCUUGGCUGUCCUGGACAUAAACCGUUUCCAGCUAGUGGUGUACACCACCUUCAGUUUUGCGGUUCUAAGGAGCAAUCUGGAAAUGUGUGCAGUUCGUCGUCUCUAGUGGGCACCCCCACUCCUGUGCCCCUGGGCCCUGAGGACAGGCAGCUACUGCAACCUGCCCCAUCCCUGCCCCUUCCAGUCCUAGAAAAAUCCAAGUGGUUGUUCCUCGGGAGAAAGCUGCCCAUCCUAUCCUAGGCACUGUGUUUCUCCAACUCAAUAAUGUUCUGAUAUUGUACAAUGCCACCGUCAGGCACAAUUCCCAACAAUGGGUGACAGCAGACAGGACAGGCCAAAUGCACACGGGAAUGGCAGCUAAGUCCGGGCAGCGGGGUCUGUCUGCAGAGGAGGCCUAAUGUUUGCACUGCAUCCUCACGGUUUGUCCUUGAAGAGGCAAAUUCUCUAGACAUUAGUUUGCUAUCUGAUGGGUGUGUUGAAGAAUUGUAAAUUGGUAGUUAAAGGGUAAUAGCUUUCCCUAGAGACAAAAGUCAUCUAAGCUUUUGGAUGGGAAGAGGAAGAGGGAGACUGGAAUGGCAAGCCCAUGACAGACACAGAUUGGGGGUCUGGUGCAGGAACCCGCAUUCUGUGUGACAGGCCCGGACCCGGGGUAUCCCAGGCCAGGAAGCCCACUUGGACAGAAGUGUCAGCUCAUCAGCCUGUUCUCAGGGCUCCACAGAAGUCUCUCUGCUGGGAGAUUGUUUUUAAUAAUAAUGGAAAAUGGGGCAAACUCAGACAGUACAGCAAUUGCUCAUAUUCGCACCACACAGAGAUUAAAGAGCAGUGAACAUCCGAGUUUGCUGCUUGGGACUCUGUUGAGCUUAAUGUGUGUUUGAUUUUUGAAUCUUGCUUUUUCACCCAAUGUAACAUAAACAAGCUCUCUGUAAACAUCCUUUUAAUGGAGCACAACCCUCUGGCACAGCAGCGGCUGUCAGGCUUCCCUCUUGGUGGGUGUUUGCUGAUUUCUCUCAUUACUGCACGUGAUACCCUGGUGACUGUCUUGCUCUAAAGGGCACGUCCCACUCCCUGCCAUUUUUUGGAUUGCAUUUGAGAAUACAUUUUUCCUCUGUGGAAGAUUACUAGGACAAACCUUAUGUAAAAUGGUGAAAAACACUUGAAAGAGAUGAAGUUUGUUUUUUUCCAGGACAGCAGAGGUCAGACUGGCCUCAGCCCCGACACCAGCUCCACGUACAGAUGUUGGGUUUUAGCGUCACCCGUGUCCCAACUCCCCUCCCCAGACGUCUUCCAUGGCUUUGUCCACUUUCAAAGAUGGACGUCUUGUUGAAUAAUAUGGAAAAAGUAGAAAUUGUGAAGGUUGCAGGCUCUUUCUUUCCUUCUGAGUUUGCAAAGACUAGCAUUUUCUCUGAGUAUUCUAAAGAGCGAGGACGCAUGCCCUGCUCAGUCCCUGGCAGUCUAAUUUAACGUUUGAAAUAGCUUCACCUAACAUUUCAACGUGUUAUGCUGCCUUAAGGUGGCAGCCCAGCGGCCACAGGAGGUCGGGACACCGGUGUCAGUGGACUGUGCGGGAACGUGGCUCUCACCACUCACUGCUGAGGGAAGGGUUCGUGCUCACCUUGAGACUCCGUUUCCACGUCUGUGAGCCCAAGAUUGUUCUGGUUAUCUAUUGCUUAGUAACAAAACCAACCCCAAACUUUGUGGCUGUAAAUAACAACAGCCAUUUAUUAACACUAUCUCUCCUAGUCCCAGGUGCUGGCGGACUCAGGUGGGCACUUAGGCCGCACUCAGGUCUCUGGUCCUUUAGUGGCUGCACUCAGAGCGGGGCUGGGGCCGGGGCUGGGCCCUGUCAAAGGCUCUCCCCUCCCUGCGGGUACCUGGGCAGGAAGACUCCAACAGCUGGGGACUUUUAGGCGCCUCUCUCUCUCCACGUGGCCCCUCGGCAUGGUGACUUCAGGGACACUGGGCUUGAGAGGAAGAUGGCAGGCUCAGAGCACACGCCCUGAGCAAGACCGAGCUGUGUGGAGGCCGUGUUCCCAUGAUCUCGCCUCGGGGGUGGGGCACGCCCAAGCCAGACAGGGUGAGCCCCCAAGAGCCGAUCAUUAAACCUUCAAGAAUUUUGUCAGCUGGUUAUUAAACACAGGCUUCAUUAAGAUUUAGUAAGAACUUACAGUUAAAUACAUCAUUUUAAAGACAAAGGCAAUAAGUUCUCAGAAUCUAUCACUUCCCAGUUAUUUUUACUAUGUAUUACCAUUACGUACGCACUUGGGGUUACCUACAUCUGUCGUAUCUGGAGGGUGGAGCUGCCAUAUAAUGACGUGCUUGGGCGCAUCUCUUCCCAACGUUGCCUUCAGUGACAUCACCGUAGUAGCCUGAAACCUACCAUGGGCAUAUGUACACCACAGGGAGCGAUGAGUGUACGAGUCAAAGUUUUAAAAUUUUUUUCCUGAGAGACAGUUGUCAAACAUUUACUAGUACCCAUUGGCCCACUCUCUGCUAGUUGGAGGGGCCAUUACUCCCUGGACUCAGGGGAAGUUCUGUGUGGAGGACUGUGGUCGUGUGGUACGAGCACACACGGAUGGGAUAAAUAUAUCGGAGCCGUCAUCUUUGGAAAAUACAACCUUCUGCGGGGAUGACGGAAGGAGUGUAGUGAAGAUUAGACAUAAUUUGUGGAAAGGGUUUCACUUAGUACCAGGGAUUUAACUCCUCAAUAAAUGACAGCCACUAUUUUUACAUACCUGCUAUGGUCUGAAUGUUUGUGUCCCCCCAAAAUUAACAUGUUUAAACCUAAUCACAAGUUUAUGGUAUCAAAAGGUGAGUCUUUGGAAGGUGAUUAGGUCCCGAGGGCUCUGCCCUCAUGAAGGGGACUGGUGCCCUCACAAAGGGCCCCGGAGCGCUGCCUUCCCCUCCUGCCAUGUGAGGGCCCAGCCAGAAGACGCUUCCUUUGAAGCAGAAAAUGAGCCCUCACCAGGCACCAGAUCCACUGGUGUCUUGAUCUCAGACUUUCCAGCCUCCAGAAUUACAAGAAAUAUAUUUCUGUUAUUUAUAAAUUACCCAGUCUAAGGUAUUUUGUUGUGGCAUCCUGAACAAACUAAGAAAAUACCUAAACAUCUCUAUUCAGUGUAGCAGAAAAAUCCCUGUAGGAGGGGCUCUUCCACAUGCCUAUUUACUGCCACUAAUGGCAUGAAUGUUUGUGUCCCCUCAAAGUUUGCAUGUUGAAAUCCAAACCUCCAAAGUGGUGGUACUGGGAGAUAGGGCCUUUGGGAGGUGAUUAGGCCAUGAGGGUGGGGCCCUCAUGGAGCAGAUUAGUGCCCUUAUAAAGAGAUGCUGGAGAGCACCCCGCCCUUCCCGCCUUGUGAAGACGCAGGGAGAAGGCACCAUCUGGGAAUGAGAAUGUGGCCCUCCCCAGACAGAAAAUCUGCUGGCACCUUGAUCUUGGACUUUCAGCCUCCAAAACUGUGAGUAGUAAAUUUCUCUUGUAGGUCCUUGGGAUUUUGUUCCAACAGCUGGAAGCAACUAAGACAGUAAACCACUUGAAGGAAAGGUCUGCAUCUUAAUUAUUCAUUUGUGUCCCCAAAGCCUUGCAUACAAGCUAUGUACUUAAUAAAUUUCUGCUGAAUAAUAAUAAAAAAAAAUUUCCUAGACAUCUUGAAGCUCACCUGAAGCAGCCAGUGGAGGCCUCAGUUUGUUUAAGAAGCUGGAGAUAUUGGGGCACACCAAGCUGCAAUACUUCCAGAUGCAGGAAUCUCCAACAUCAACUUGGGGAUGAUAUUCUUUUAUUGUGGGUGUGAAGGCAUCGUCUCAGCUAGGUCUGCAGAUGAGGUCAGGAAGUGCCUGAGAAGAGAUCCGUGUGGAUUAAUACCCAGGGCUCGGUUUCUGCAGGAAACAGGAGGCAAAGGCUGUGGAAGAAACGAAGCUGCCGUGAACGUGCUCUGGGCGUCUGAGAAGAUGCAGUGCGGCCUGAACUUCCAUUCGCUUUGGUUGCAGCUGGGCUUGGGGACACUUCUACAAUCAGAAGCAGCUGUCUUCUCUCAUGUAACCAUUAGGCUGAGUUCCACAGGCUCACGGCGGGAAUCUCGGAGCCUGACAGUCCCUGCCUAAGCGGCCUCACUUUCCAGCAUAGAGUAAAUCACGUGGCUUCACAGCAACUAUUUACAUUUGUUAGGGGCUUUGCUGGUUUGGCCCCACAGUGAGACUCCGUGAGGCCAUGUGGGCAGUGCAGUGGGGCCGCCCACAGACAGUGAUGCUCCUCCUAAAACCUAGGACCAUCUUGAUAGCUCGGUCCCUUGGCCAUCCCUGCCAGUUCCUCCUGGGGAUGUAGGUACAAUUUUCCAGGGUGCCUUGGGAAAUGUACCCCCAUUUGCCUUUGAAAUUUGUAGCAGCUGCACCCAGAGGCCAGCCUGGUGGGUGAGGUGGUGCAGAGUGACAGUGGGGGUGGCAGGAGGGGAGGAAAGGAAGUGCACCCCAGCCCUUGCCGUUUCCCAGGCACUGGGCUGGCUUUCCCCAAAUCAGGAAGUGAUGCUUUCCCUGCAACCCGAGUUCUGAUGACAAAAGAGUAAAACUCCCUAUAAAUCAUGCAGGGGGCUUUUUCUUACACUCCUGUUCAAUAAGUUGAUGAUGGGUUUUUUUUUUCCCCCAAUUUAAAAAUAAACCACGUGUAUUAUAGAA